AGUAAAAUUAUUGUCUCAGAUUUACUGUUUAUGAACAGCUAUUUUAGUAGUUCUAAAGAGCUGUUUGGUUCGAUUUCCAGAUUUUUGAAGUUGUUUUUCGCUCAUUAAUGAGAUGUCUUUUAGUAAAACAGUUUGUCAUUUGAACAUUUAAGGAAAAUACUUUUGCUUAACAUUUUUGGAAGAUUGGAACAAGUAAUUAUUUGGUGGUUGGAACAUUAAAGUGACCUAAAGUAUCGUUAUGAUUCUUAAAAUCAUUUUGAAAAGCGUUUUGAAUGAGUUAAGAACAUUUGUUAUUAUUUCAAAAUUCAUAUUAAACUCACUUAAUAUGAGAGAUGAACAGUGUUUCUUGGCUUUUGAAAGAUGAUUUUGAACAUUCUGAAUACUUCUGAUAGACCUCGAAGUGUUUGAGAUUCAAACCUUUAACCACUUGGUCGAAGGUAUAUAUUUUAUGCUUGUUGAGUUAUGUUCAUGUUGGCGUGUUUGAAGCAGCUUCUUCUAAGAUUACUCAAUUAGAUCACAUGCUUGCUACUCUUAGACAUUAUUCUGAAGUCACUCUCUCCAGCUUUGAAAGAUGAAAAUACAGAAUCUCUUAAAUGAACAGUCAGGAUUGAGUUUGUUCUAAAAAGUCAGUCCCUUAGCCAGUCCUCAGGAGCUUAGUGCAUCCUAGGGAUCAUUCACGCAAAAAUGACAUGAAUUAUAGGUCGGUUUAGCAAAGACAUAAUUAUUUUAAGGGAACUAAGGCCAGCGGUCUUCUACUUCGCGUAUGCAUUUCAUACACAGGCAAAGAAUAAUGGAACAAGAUACUUUGGUCGGUGGUGGAUGCUUGUCUUUUUUGCUCAUUGCCCCACCGAAAUGAUGAGACGAGAAAAGAGGUAAAGAGUCUCUACGUCAUUUUAACAUGAUAUGAUGAAAGUCUACUUAGUCGUUUCACCUUUGGAAUCUACGAAGUUCAUUGUAAAAAAGAAAUUGUAUAUUGUUCAAAACCGACUAAAUCGACGUGAAACAAUGUUGUUUCUUUUUUAAAACACGUUGGGAACAAAUAAAACUCUGCUUGAUAAC
Molecule: long non-coding RNA, 1059 nt
Organism: Cucurbita maxima (winter squash)
Lineage: Eukaryota; Viridiplantae; Streptophyta; Magnoliopsida; Cucurbitales; Cucurbitaceae
Exons: 2
Source: RefSeq, a predicted model, not a curated record